Long non-coding RNA from Coturnix japonica (Japanese quail), 2403 nucleotides. NCBI's taxonomy places the organism in Eukaryota, Metazoa, Chordata, Aves, Galliformes, Phasianidae. The record is from Ensembl.
UGGGGAAGGGUCCUAAAGGGGAUGGGAUGGAUAUGGGGGGCAGUGAGGGGAUGGGGAAGGGGAAGGGUCCUCAAGAGGAUGGGGUGGGAGGAGGUUAUGGGGUGGGGAAGGGUCAGUCAAUGGUUGGGUUGGGUCCUAAAGGGGAUGGGAUGGAUAUGGGGGGCAGUGAGGGGAUGGGGAAGGGGAAGGGUCCUCAAGGGGAUGGGGUAGGAGGAGGUUAUGGGGUGGGGAAGGGUCCUCAAGGGGAUGGGGUGAGUAUGGGGGGCGAUGAGGGGAGGGGGAAGGGUGACGUCGGCCAACAGUUGGGUGAGGGGUUGGGGGUCCCCGUGGGGCCAAUUGGGGGCGAUAGUGAGGGGGGGGUUGAUGGGUUGGGGGCUGAGGGGGAUGGGAAGGGAUAUGGGGCGGGCGCCAUGUUGGGGACCAGGAAGGAUGUGGGGCCAGGUGAGGUGAGGGUGAAGGGCCUGGUGACGGCCAAGGGGUGGGGGGCUGGGAAGGGCCCCAAAGGGGGAUGGGGGGCAGAUGAGGGUCGUGGGGUGGUCAGGGAGAUGGUGAGGGGAUGGAAGGGGCAGGGGGCGGCCGAGGGGGCAACUAUGGCAACAAUGGAGGCCAAGAUGGAGGCCAAGAUGGAGGCCAAGAUGGCGCCAUCAACCAUGUCAUCACCAACUAUGGAACCAAUGGAGGCCAAGAUGGCGGCCAAGAUGGAGGCCAAGGUGCCACCAACCACCACGUCACUGUCGGCCAUGACACCUUCAACCACGUCCCCAAUGGAGGCCAAGAUGGAGGCCAAUAUGGCUGCCAAUAUGGCUGCCAAGAUGGAGGCCAAGAUGGCGGACAAGACGGAGGCCAAUAUGGCUGCCAAUAUGGCUGCCAAGCCGCCCCCACCCCCCGCAUCCCCGCCAUGUUCCGCCCCGCCCCCCCCGUCCCCACAUCCUCCUCCCGCCCCCCAAGUCGGUUCCGGGUUCUGCCCCACAUCCUCCCCACCCCAUGGGGGUCCCAUAGGGGCCGUGACCAUGCGCGGGGCCCCACGGCGAGACCCCACCCCGCCCCCCCUGACCCACCCGGCCCUACAGCGGCGCAGUGGGAACACCAUCACCGUCAGACCCCGACGGGGGGCGGCCAAUGAGGGGGGGGGGGCUGCGCCCCAUAACAACGACCCCCCGGCCCCACAAGUGACCCCAAAGAAGCGCUACCCCACGGCAGAGGAGAUCCAGGUCAUUGGGGGGUACCUGGCUCUGCCCCGAUCCUGCCUGGCCAAGAACGACCCCCAUAGGAAGAAGGUGAGUCAGUGCGGACCCCCACCCCAUAUUGGGACCCCCACCCCAUAUUGUGACCCCCACCCCAUAUCUGGGACCCCCACCCCAUAUCUGGGACCCCCACCCCAUAUUGUGCCCUCCACCCCAUAGGAAGAAGGUGAGUCAAUGAGGACCCCCACCCCAUAUUGGGACCCCCACCCCAUAUUGUGGGACCCCCAUCCCAUAUUGGGACCCCCACCCCAUAUCUGGGACCCCCAACCCCAUAUUGUGGGACCCCCACCCCAUAUUGGGACCCCCACCCCAUAUUGUGGGACCCCCACCCCAUAUUGGGACCCCCCAACCCUAUAUUGUGGGACCCCCAACCCUAUAUUGUGGGACCCCCACCCCAUAUUGUGACCCCCAUCCCAUAUUGGGACCCCCACCCCAUAUUGUGGGACCCCCACCCCAUAUUGGGACCCCCACCCCAUAUUGUGGGAGCCCCACCCCAUAUUGGGACCCCCACCCCAUAUUGUGGGAGCCCCACCCCAUAUCUGGGACCCCCACCCCAUAUUGGGACCCCCACUCCAUAUUGUGGGACCCCCACCCCAUAUUGGGACCCCUACCCCAUAUCUGGGACCCCCACCCCAUAUUGUGGGACCCCCACCCCAUAUUGGGACCCCCACCCCAUAUUGGGACCCCCACCCCAGAUUGGGACCCCCACCCCAUAGAGUGGGACCCCCAACCCCAUAUUGGGACCCCCAUCCCAUAUUGUGGGACCCCCACCCCAUAUUGUGGGACCCCCACCCCAUAUUGGGACCCCCAACCCAUAUUGGGACCCCCACCCCAUAUUGUGUGACCCCCACCCCAUAUUGGGACCCCCACCCCAUAUUGGGACCCCCAACCCUAUAUUGUGUCCCCCCAACCCCAUAUUGUGGGACCCCCACCCCAUACUGGGACCCCCAACCCCAUAUUGGGACCCCCACCCCAUAUCUGGGACCCCCACCCCAUAUUGUGGGAGCCCCACCCCAUAUCUGGGACCCCCACCCCAUAGAGUGGGACCCCCAACCCCAUAUUGUGGGACCCCCACCCCAUAUUGGGACCCCCACCCCAUAUGGUGACCCCCACCCCAUAUUGGGACCCCCACCCCAUAUCUGGGACCCCCAACCCCAUA